Non-coding RNA from Podarcis lilfordi (Lilford's wall lizard), 72 nucleotides. Lineage: Eukaryota; Metazoa; Chordata; Lepidosauria; Squamata; Lacertidae. The record is from the annotation of a GenBank genome assembly.
UGGAUAGCUCAGGUUGUUAGAGCAUGGUGCUGAUAAUGCCAAGGUUGCAGGUUUGAUCCCCUUCUGGGACAA